UACGUAGGUGGCAAGCGUUGUCCGGAUUUACUGGGCGUAAAGAGCGCGCAGGCGGUCGGUCAAGUCGCGUGUGAAAGCCCCCGGCUCAACUGGGGAGGGUCACGCGAUACUGAUCGACUCGAAGGCAGGAGAGGGAAGUGGAAUUCCCGGUGUAGUGGUGAAAUGCGUAGAUAUCGGGAGGAACACCAGUGGCGAAGGCGACUUCCUGGCCUGUUCUUGACGCUGAGGCGCGAAAGCUAGGGGAGCAAACAGG
RNAcentral lists this ribosomal RNA (253 nucleotides) under uncultured bacterium. RNAcentral describes it as "partial 16S ribosomal RNA". It matches the Rfam family "Bacterial small subunit ribosomal RNA", at positions 524 to 776 of the family's 1533-position model. The record is from RNAcentral.